RNAcentral lists this ribosomal RNA (349 nucleotides) under uncultured bacterium. RNAcentral's name for it is "bacterial SSU rRNA". It matches the Rfam family "Bacterial small subunit ribosomal RNA", at positions 8 to 350 of the family's 1533-position model. The record is from RNAcentral.
AGAGUUUGAUCCUGGCUCAGGAUGAACGCUAGCUACAGGCUUAACACAUGCAAGUCGAGGGGCAGCAUGUUGGUUGCUUGCAACCAACGAUGGCGACCGGCGCACGGGUGAGUAACGCGUAUCCAACCUACCCUUGUCCAUCGGAUAACCCGUCGAAAGGCGGCCUAACACGAUAUGCGGUUCACAGCAGGCAUCUAACGUGAACGAAAUGUAAAGGAGAAGGAUGGGGAGUGCGUCUGAUUAGCUUGUUGGCGGGGUAACGGCCACCAAGGCUACGAUCAGUAGGGUUCUGAGAGGAAGGUCCCCACAUUGGAACUGAGACACGGUACCAAACUCCUACGGGACGGCA